AAUAUAUAUGAAAUUAAACUUCCCUGACAAAUAUCUAUAUUUUGCCACAGCAAUUUCAGUCUUCAUCUUCAUCAUUUGAAUUCAGUGACUACAAACAGUGCUAGAGAAUGCAAUAUGGAAAGCAGUGCAUUAUGCACAUCUUGUGCUUCGUGUGCUGGCGCAGGGGCCCACUUGUGGAUUAUCAUGUUUAAACAAUUUCAACUAUUACUAACCCUCAUCAAAGGGGAAAAAAACCUUCGAUUUCCUUUGCCUUUAAGUAAACAAAAAGGCAAUGAUGAGCGUAUUCGAGGGGUGAAUCCCAUCAAUGAAGCAGAAGAAAAGGGUCCAAUCAGGCUACCAACUAAAAAUGAUCAGAAACCUCACGUGAUAUCCUUGUUGUCAUAGUCUCAGACAUACAAAUAAUGAAAUCAACAUCAACACUAACAAUUUUCCUUUCCACUACAUUGUAAUUUUUCCCUGGACAUUGUAAUCAAGUUAGUGAAUGACCAUGUCCCCACGCCAGCUAUCAAUGUGACCUGCAAUAUCAACAAAAUUCCAAAUCUCUUGAGAGCGAUCCAGUACAAAUGCAUACAUCACAUUAGGGUGAGUAUCCUACAACACACUAAUCUUUGGUCCUGCACAGCAUCAAAUUAACCUUUCUAUGCUCUACACAUCUUAAGAAAAGUUAAUAGUCCAAAGAAAGACAAUGUUUAUGAAUAUAAUGGAUUGUACUUGCAUGUGUUAGUAAAGGCAAAAUACAUCCUGAGGCCCCUAUAUUUUUAGCUUUUUCGCUUUUGAGACCCUGAUUAUUAACCAUUAUUUAAAAAACAAAAGAGAAAAUAAUGCUGUGCAACCUUCCCCCUUUCCAAAGAAAGACAAUGUCCAUGAAUAUGAAGGAUUGUACUUGCAUGUAUUAGUAAAGGUAAAACACAUCCUGAGGCCCCUAUUCUUUUAGCUUUUUGCUUUUGAGCCCCUGAUUGUUAACCAUUAUUUGAAAAACAAAAGAGUAAACAAUGCCGUGCAACCUUCCCCCUUCCCUUGUUCCUCUCACAAUUUGUUCCCAUUUCCUGACCCUUGCAAUCUGUUUCCAUCUCACUCCAAUUUCUCAAUCAAAACAAUCUUGGAGUAAUCUCUUCCUUGCAGCCACUUGAGCAGCAAGCUGCUUUUCUAUGAGAGUUAAAACCAAUGUUUGGAGGAUUCCAUAAACAUCAAUGAAAUGGAGAGAGUUAUCAAGAAGGUUCUCAAACCAUGUGGGCUGGUGGCAAAGGGAUUCCUGGGGUUGACAGAGUUGUAGGAUUUUAUCAAACAAAUCAUGAACCCAUUAUGAUUAGUGUUAACUGAGAAAUCAUUACGAUUUUCCAUGGAGAGAGAGAGAGA
RNAcentral lists this unclassified non-coding RNA (1356 nucleotides) under Hevea brasiliensis (rubber tree). Lineage: Eukaryota; Viridiplantae; Streptophyta; Magnoliopsida; Malpighiales; Euphorbiaceae. The record is from RNAcentral.